UUCUGAUAGAUUUUUGCUUAUAUUAUUUUAUUUUAGGUUUUCGUUUGCUUGGUAGAGAUGUGUUACUGAUAGAUCCUUGUUUUCUUCAAAUAUUAGUGUCUAAUUCUUUUGUAGAUACGUGGUUGGUUGGUGUUAAAGAAUCUGGAUGCAGUUAGAGUGUUUUGAUUUAGGCAUUUGCUGGUGUUGUUUCCAUUUGUGCUGGUCAGACACAAUAU
Molecule: long non-coding RNA, 215 nt
Filed under: Brassica napus (rape)
Lineage: Eukaryota; Viridiplantae; Streptophyta; Magnoliopsida; Brassicales; Brassicaceae
Description: long non-coding RNA (BNAP_LNC002408)
Source: RNAcentral